Molecule: ribosomal RNA, 253 nt
Filed under: uncultured bacterium
Lineage: Bacteria
Description: partial 16S ribosomal RNA
Rfam family: Bacterial small subunit ribosomal RNA
Source: RNAcentral
UACGGAGGGGGCUAGCGUUGUUCGGAAUUACUGGGCGUAAAGCGCGCGUAGGCGGCUUUGUAAGUUAGAGGUGAAAGCCCAGAGCUCAACUCUGGAAUUGCCUUUUAGACUGCAUCGCUUGAAUCAUGGAGAGGUCAGUGGAAUUCCGAGUGUAGAGGUGAAAUUCGUAGAUAUUCGGAAGAACACCAGUGGCGAAGGCGGCUGACUGGACAUGUAUUGACGCUGAGGUGCGAAAGCGUGGGGAGCAAACAGG